GCUGAGGAUGUGGCUUAGUUGGUAGAGCACUUGCCUAGCGUACAUGAAGUCCUGGGAUUAAUCCCCAGCACAGUA
This 75-nucleotide transfer RNA is filed under the name Mus musculus (house mouse). Its description in RNAcentral is "tRNA-Ala". The stretch from base 9 to 70 matches the Rfam family "tRNA", at positions 6 to 65 of the family's 71-position model. Rfam says of the family: Transfer RNA (tRNA) molecules are approximately 80 nucleotides in length. Their secondary structure includes four short double-helical elements and three loops (D, anti-codon, and T loops). Lineage: Eukaryota; Metazoa; Chordata; Mammalia; Rodentia; Muridae. The record is from RNAcentral.